This 103-nucleotide small nuclear RNA is filed under the name Mus pahari (shrew mouse). The record is from RNAcentral. Lineage: Eukaryota; Metazoa; Chordata; Mammalia; Rodentia; Muridae.
UCUCUUUGGCAGCACAUAUACUAAAAUUAAAAUGAUACAGAGAAUAUUAGCAUGGCCCCUGCACAAGAAUGACAUGCAGAUUUGUGAAGUGUUCCAUUAUGUG